GAUGAACGCUGGCGGCGUGCCUAAUACAUGCAAGUCGAGCGAACAGACGAGGAGCUUGCUCCUCUGACGUUAGCGGCGGACGGGUGAGUAACACGUGGAUAACCUACCUAUAAGACUGGGAUAACUUCGGGAAACCGGAGCUAAUACCGGAUAAUAUAUUGAACCGCAUGGUUCAAUAGUGAAAGACGGUUUUGCUGUCACUUAUAGAUGGAUCCGCGCCGCAUUAGCUAGUUGGUAAGGUAACGGCUUACCAAGGCAACGAUGCGUAGCCGACCUGAGAGGGUGAUCGGCCACACUGGAACUGAGACACGGUCCAGACUCCUACGGGAGGCAGCAGUAGGGAAUCUUCCGCAAUGGGCGAAGGCUUGACGGAGCAACGCCGCGUGAGUGAUGAAGGUCUUCGGAUCGUAAAACUCUGUUAUUAGGGAAGAACAAAUGUGUAAGUAACUAUGCACGUCUGGACGGUACCUAAUCAGAAAGCCACGGCUAACUACGU
Molecule: ribosomal RNA, 496 nt
Filed under: uncultured bacterium
Lineage: Bacteria
Description: partial 16S ribosomal RNA
Rfam family: Bacterial small subunit ribosomal RNA
Source: RNAcentral